Molecule: unclassified non-coding RNA, 337 nt
Filed under: soil metagenome
Description: partial contains 5.8S ribosomal RNA, internal transcribed spacer 2, and large subunit ribosomal RNA
Rfam family: 5.8S ribosomal RNA (bases 1-120)
Source: RNAcentral
GAUGAAGAACGCAGCGAAAUGCGAUAAGUAGUGUGAAUAGCAGAAUUCAGUGAAUCAUCGAAUCUUUGAACGCACAUUGCGCCCCUUGGUAUUCCAUGGGGCAUGCCUGUUCGAGCGUCAUUUGUACCUUCAAGCUCUGCUUGGUGUUGGGUGUUUGUCUCGCCUCUGCGUGUAGACUCGCCUCAAAACAAUUGGCAGCCGGCGUAUUGAUUUCGGAGCGCAGUACAUCUCGCGCUUUGCACUCAUAACGACGACGUCCAAAAGUACAUUUUUACACUCUUGACCUCGGAUCAGGUAGGGAUACCCGCUGAACUUAAGCAUAUCAAUAAGCGGAGGA